Molecule: ribosomal RNA, 253 nt
Filed under: uncultured bacterium
Lineage: Bacteria
Description: partial 16S ribosomal RNA
Rfam family: Bacterial small subunit ribosomal RNA
Source: RNAcentral
UACGUAGGGGGCAAGCGUUGUCCGGAUUUAUUGGGCGUAAAGCGCGUGUAGGCGGCCAGGUAGGUCCGCUGUGAAAACUCGAGGCUCAACCUCGAGACGUCGGCGGAAACCAUCUGGCUAGAGUCCGGAAGAGGAGAGUGGAAUUCCUGGUGUAGCGGUGAAAUGCGCAGAUAUCAGGAAGAACACCUAUGGCGAAGGCAGCACUCUGGGACGGUACUGACGCUGAGACGCGAAAGCGUGGGGAGCGAACAGG